This 800-nucleotide long non-coding RNA is filed under the name Vitis vinifera (wine grape). RNAcentral's name for it is "long non-coding RNA (VVIN_LNC003782)". The record is from RNAcentral. Lineage: Eukaryota; Viridiplantae; Streptophyta; Magnoliopsida; Vitales; Vitaceae.
AAAAAAAACUCUGUGAAAAGUGUAUGAAAUGGAAAAAAAAAAAAUAGUGAUGAAAAGCGAAAGCCCGUGUGAGGCAAACUAAGAAGGGAGAGAGAUCCCUAGGGUGAAAGACCCAAAAGUUUACCCCGGGAAGACUCCGAAUGAGGAAUAUAUUUGGGUACGGACGCGUAUCCUUCGGUGAAAGCCCGAGAACGAUAGUGCAUUGUAUGACUGUGUGUCACAUGCUCAUAUGCAUUCAUUUAAUGAUUGGAUGUUGUGGAAUUAAGUAUAACAUUAUACUGUUAAAUGGUGUGACUUGAUUUAUAUUGGUGAUCUGUUGCGUUUGGGUUCUUGAAAUUUAGUAAUCCCCCAUUAACCCUUUGGGUGUUAGGCACUGUACUGAGCAACGUGGAAAUGCUCACCCCUUUCUUUUUACAUAUUUUUAGAUGCAGAUAUCACUCCUAAGGAUCCACAGAUGGGACAGGGAGGACUUCAGGAUGCCCCUGGAACGGUUUAGUGGAAGGGUUUUAUUUUUUAUUGUGUUUAUGGUAUUGAGACCUUGUAAUAAGUGAAUUAUGGAUUAUGUAAUAAGACCUUAAUUUGAUUAAGGGGAUUUUAUGAAAUUUUAAUUUUGGGAUGCAAUGAUGUUUAUUAAAUCUUGAUGUGUUUGAGUAAGGUUUAAAAUAUUGUUAGUUGGUGAGAACCCUAGUGGGAUUUAUAUGUGAAAAAAAAGAAAAAUUCAGAGUGUUUUAGUUGACUGUCAACGUGGAAUAGGAGAAACCCUUAGGGUCAAACCUUUGACCUGGGGUCACGGGUCAAAU